RNAcentral lists this ribosomal RNA (1374 nucleotides) under uncultured bacterium. Its description in RNAcentral is "bacterial SSU rRNA". It matches the Rfam family "Bacterial small subunit ribosomal RNA". The record is from RNAcentral.
AGAGUUUGAUCCUGGCUCAGGACGAACGCUGGCGGCGCGCCUAACACAUGCAAGUCGAACGGUGACGAGAGCUUCGGCUCUCUGAUCAGUGGCGGACGGGUGAGUAACACGUGAGCAACCUGCCUAUCAGAGGGGGACAACAGUUGGAAACGACUGCUAAUACCGCAUAACGUGCACGGAAGGCAUCUUCUGUGCACCAAAGAUUUAUCGCUGAUAGAUGGGCUCGCGUCUGAUUAGAUAGUUGGCGGGGUAACGGCCCACCAAGUCGACGAUCAGUAGCCGGACUGAGAGGUUGAACGGCCACAUUGGGACUGAGACACGGCCCAGACUCCUACGGGAGGCAGCAGUGGGGGAUAUUGGACAAUGGGGGCAACCCUGAUCCAGCGACGCCGCGUGAGGGAAGAAGGUUUUCGGAUUGUAAACCUCUGUCAACAGGGAAAAUGAUGAUGGUACCUGUGGAGGAAGCCACGGCUAACUACGUGCCAGCAGCCGCGGUAAUACGUAGGUGGCGAGCGUUAUCCGGAUUUACUGGGUGUAAAGGGUGUGUAGGCGGGAUUGCAAGUCAGAUGUGAAAACUAUGGGCUCAACUCAUAGCCUGCAUUUGAAACUGCAAUUCUUGAGUGAUGGAGAGGUAAGCGGAAUUCCCGGUGUAGAGGUAAAAUUCGUAGAUAUCGGGAGGAACACCAGUGGCGAAGGCGGCUUACUGGACAUUAACUGACGCUGAGGCGCGAAAGUGUGGGGAGCAAACAGGAUUAGAUACCCUGGUAGUCCACACUGUAAACGAUGGAUACUAGGUGUGGGGGGACUGACCCCUUCCGUGCCGGAGUUAACACAAUAAGUAUCCCACCUGGGGAGUACGGUCGCAAGAUUAAAACUCAAAGGAAUUGACGGGGACCCGCACAAGCAGUGGAGUAUGUGGUUUAAUUCGACGCUACGCGAAAAACCUUACCAAGGCUUGACAUCCUACUAACGAAGUAGAGAUACAUUAGGUGCCCCUCGGGGAAAGUAGAGACAGGUGGUGCAUGGUUGUCGUCAGCUCGUGUCGUGAGAUGUUGGGUUAAGUCCCGCAACGAGCGCAACCCCUAUCCUUAGUAGCCAGCGGCCAGGCCGGGCACUCUAGGGAGACUGCCGGGGAUAACCCGGAGGAAGGUGGGGAUGACGUCAAAUCAUCAUGCCCCUUAUGAUUUGGGCUACACACGUGCUACAAUGGCGUAAACAAAGGGAAGCGACCCUGCGAAGGUGAGCAAAUCCCAAAAAUAACGUCUCAGUUCGGAUUGUAGUCUGCAACUCGACUACAUGAAGCUGGAAUCGCUAGUAAUCGCGAAUCAGAAUGUCGCGGUGAAUACGUUCCCGGGUCUUGCACUCACCGCCCGU